CGCGCAUCACGCGGUACGGUCUGUCCGAUAUCGACGACAGCGAGACGGAAGCCGGUGAGAAUCCGGCACGGUCGCGCCACUGUGUGCGGGUCCCCCAGGGGGCUCGUGAGUCAGACCCGUGGCUGUCGUCCAGUGCACCA
This 140-nucleotide non-coding RNA is filed under the name Streptomyces yokosukanensis. Lineage: Bacteria; Bacillati; Actinomycetota; Actinomycetes; Kitasatosporales; Streptomycetaceae. The record is from RNAcentral.